GACUAUAUCUUUAGACAAUGAGUCUCUAAGGUUUUUGGGGCCAAGAACAAGAAUUUCGUUUUUUUCUGAGUUUAACAUCAGAAAAUUGCAGCUCAUCCAGGAUUUUAUGUCCUUAAGACAUGUUUGUAAUUUAGAUAAUUGAUUAAUUUCAUCGGGCUUGAUAGAUAGAUAUAACUGCGUAUCAUCUGCAUAACAGUGAUUGAAGAACAAUAACCACAAAGCUGGAUGAGGUAGUGGCUGAGAGACAGAUGAAGCUAAAAUCAGACCUAGCAAAUGCAGAUAGUGUGUUGAUGACUGUAGACAUAUGGUCAGACCGGAAGAUGAGGGGGUUUCUGGGAGUGACAGCACAUUGGCUGAAUCCUGCCGAUGACUCACUUGUCUUGAAAUCAGCCUUACUUGCAUGCAACCGCUUCAGAGGUGCUCAUACUGGAGAAAGAAUUUGCGAGGAGUUUGAACAGAUAUGUGAAGAGAACAACAUGAAGGGGCGCCCGGUUAGCUCAGCUGGUAGAGCUGGUGACCCAUGUACCGUGGCUCAGUACUUGCUGCAGCAGCCCAAGGUUUGAAUCCGACCUGUGGCCCUUUGCUGCGUGUCAUACCCUCUCUCUCUGCCCCCCUUUCCUGUCAAAUAAAAGCCAAAUAUAUAUAUAAAAUACUUUAAAGAGUACAACAUGAAGAAGAAGUUGGACCACAUUAUUUGAGAUAACGCCACGAACAUGAAAAAGGCCUUCAGUACGUGCUUCCCAGGUCAAGAGGACGAAGAGGAUGACGAUGACCUUGAUGAUUCUGAUAUAUGGAAUGACUUAUCACCAGAGGAGCAAGAGAGGGUUGACCAAUUUUUCACAGCAAAGUCUCAGACACGAAUGCAGUGUUUUGCACAUACUCUUCAAUUGGUUGUAAGAGAUGGCCUGAAAGAGACCAGAAUUGUUAAUGCGGCCAUUGCGAAAGCCUCCACGUUGAGCCACAUUCUCCAUACAAGCUGCUCACUCAAGGACAUUUUUGAGAGGGAGUUUGGUUAACCCUGCGUGUGUUGCGACGUGCUGGAAUUCCACUUUUAGGCAACUAAAAGCAAUGCUCAGCUGUGAUCACCUAAAGCUUUCUACACUUCUUGAUAAUUCGGGACACAAGGACACGGUAUUCAUAGCAAGAGAGUGGAAUCAGAUUCAAGAACUUGUGUACAUCCUUCAGCCUUUUGCGGAAGCCACAGAUCUCACGCAGGAAAAAAAAAAGUGACCAUAAGUGCUGUGGUACCCUGUGUCCUUUCUCUUAAUCACCACCUGGAAAAUGAAAAAGGGAACAUGUGCUACAUGGGGGGUCUGAUCUGUAGCCUACAAACAUCACUCCAAAGACGGUUCGGAGGGAUCAUUGUGAAUGUGCAGAUGGCAGAAGAAUCAUCUGGCAGGCAGUCAGUGCCCUUCUCUGACCCUCUAUACCUAAAGGCUGCUCUACUGGAUCCUUCAUUUGGCAGCAUGUGGUUGACCCAUGAUGUUUUUGUCCCUGAAAACACCAAGCAGGCUGUGCCAAUGAUGAUAAAAGAUUUGAUUCUCAAAGAGGCUUGCAAGACCACCCCAACCCCCUGUUAGGAGGAGGACCAAACCAGAACAGAAGAGACAGAGCAUCAGUCUGGACUGUUCUCAGCAUACCACAAGAAGCAGAAGUAAGAUUCAGGUUCUAGCCCCCAUAUUCGGCUGAACCACUACCUGGAUGUUUGAGAUGGACAGAAUGCCCUUCAGGUUUGGGCCAUGAACAGGCACACCCUCCCCUCUUUGUUCAAGGUGGCGGUAAGGGUUUUGGCAGUUCCUGUAUCAAGGGCACCUGUUGAGCGCGUAUUCAGCCAUGGCGGGAUAAUAAUGCAACCCCAUCGCUCACAACUGACUGACAAAGUUCUGUCACAUUUGAUGUUUUGCAAAUGCAAUGUUUUGUAAAUGGCUUUUCACCCCUUCUCUCUCUGACACACAUGCACACACACUCCUAUACACUCACAUGCACACACACGCACACACACACACACACACACACACACACACACACACGCACUCCUCAUACAUACACACACACACACAUUCACAAAUACUAGGCCUAAUUACAUUGUUUCUAUAUCUCUCUCUCUGACACACAUGCACACACACUCCACUAUCCACUCUCACAUGCAUGCACACACACACGCACAUGCACACAUGCUUAAUCAUAACACAAACACUAGGUUACAUUUAAGGUUUACUUGUUCAAGUUCAUUCUUUGAUGCAAUGUUUUUUGUUAUAUGUUGAAAUAUUUGUUGUAAAUUAAAGUCCAGCACUUUAAGACGGUUGUCAUCCAGCUUAUUAUAUUUCUAUGAUUUGACUUGACUUUACUCUCACAAAAAUGACUUGGGACUUGCUUGAGAAAUGACUUGGGACUUGCUUGAGACUUGAAGGUUAAGACUUGAGACUUACCUGAGACUUGCACAUGUGUGACUUACUCCCACCUCUGCAACACAUUCCACACUCCUGCCCUCAGGCCGGCGUUACAGGAGUGUACUAACCGUUUCUACCCCCAGGCCAUCAGACUCUACAGACAGUACAGCCCACACCACCCUGCCACCACCAUAUGAGUUUCAAUUUAGAAAUGUAAUUACCUAUAGUUUGUGGGCUAUUUUGAAGCCUCCAGUUGGGCUUUAUGUUCGUCUCCAUGUUAUUCUUUUGCAGCCAUCAGCGGUGACGUACUGCGAGUUGAGCUGCUCUCAUUGGCUGCUCUUGGUUUGGAAACAAUGGCGGUUCGCCUGCUCACACAGGGUCUGGUAUUCCAGAUAAACAAUAAAAUGUGUUUGUGAACAGAUUUGAGGAGAGAAAUAGUCAACAACAGAAUCUGGAUCCAUAUCUGAUCAGCACUGUUUGACAGUUUGAUCUGAGUUUGGUGCAUUGAGCUGGAU
This is a long non-coding RNA of Dicentrarchus labrax (European seabass), 2905 nucleotides long. RefSeq lists it as uncharacterized. The transcript has 3 exons. The record is from RefSeq and is a predicted model, not a curated record. Lineage: Eukaryota; Metazoa; Chordata; Actinopteri; Moronidae.